This 963-nucleotide long non-coding RNA is filed under the name Daucus carota (carrot). RNAcentral describes it as "long non-coding RNA (DCAR_LNC004450)". The record is from RNAcentral. Lineage: Eukaryota; Viridiplantae; Streptophyta; Magnoliopsida; Apiales; Apiaceae.
AACUUCAUUCUCUACACUCAUUCUCACACACACUUACACUCAGCAUAUAUUCAAACACUCUCAGCCACCAGCCACCAUAAAACCACCAGCCAUACACCUUCACCCAACACACAUAGAUAACACUUUCUCUAGUCUUUAUCCUUCCGAAACCUACGCUUACUCUCACGCCGGAGGCGCUUUGGGGCAAAACCCCCCCGCCGGCGUUGUUUUGUAGGCCCCCAUCCAGCAGCUACACCACGGAACCACCAGUCACGGCGGAGGAAGGACCGGGACCGGAGAUUGGCGUUAUCAUUUGGCGCUAGAAGGAGGGGCAAAUGAUAGGGAGUAACCCGAGUCCUGGUUCCUAUGGACCCGGGGCCCCUCGAGGACCAUGAUUCUCGGACAAGCACAGCACCUCAGGUCCUGCUCGAGUACAUCACCCGAGAUAGGAUUCGGACCCGGAUACCUCUCGACCACACCCUUGACCGGGGUCCAAACAUGUACCAGACGACAUCUACUGCACGGAGCACAGACUGACACGAUAAAGACAAGCACAACGGUCAACUACUGGCGAUAGAGACAAGCCAGGGAACAUUCCAAAAUACUACUCCUACGCUGACACCUGGACACGUGUAGGGGAUCAAACCCCUACACGUGUAGGACCAGGAUCCAGGUACUCACCCUUAAACCCUAAUCCUUGGCCUAUAAAUAGACCAAGGAUCAGGAGUUUAGGGGUUAACUUCAUUCUCUACACUCAUUCUCACACACACUUACACUCAGCAUAUAUUCAAACACUCUCAGCCACCAGCCACCAUAAAACCACCAGCCAUACACCUUCACCCAACACACAUAGAUAACACUUUCUCUAGUCUUUAUCCUUCCGAAACCUACGCUUACUCUCACGCCGGAGGCGCUUUGGGGCAAAACCCCCCCGCCGGCGUUGUUUUGUAGGCCCCCAUCCAGCAGCUACACCACGGAACCACC